Molecule: long non-coding RNA, 157 nt
Organism: Daphnia pulex (common water flea)
Lineage: Eukaryota; Metazoa; Arthropoda; Branchiopoda; Diplostraca; Daphniidae
Exons: 2
Source: RefSeq, a predicted model, not a curated record
AUGCAAGCUCACAACCUAUGUCUUCUGAAGAAAAAUCAUUUCUGUUGCAGAUUUUGCAUUUAGACCGAAUGAGAACCAUUUUGUUGCCCAUCCAAGGAUAAGGAAAAGGCCAACACCACCAACAUGGUCAACAAGGUUCUUUGUUUGUUUACCCCUU